Molecule: unclassified non-coding RNA, 223 nt
Filed under: Hevea brasiliensis (rubber tree)
Lineage: Eukaryota; Viridiplantae; Streptophyta; Magnoliopsida; Malpighiales; Euphorbiaceae
Source: RNAcentral
UUCUUCCUACCUCAAGAAGGUUGGUUACAACCCUGACAAAAUCCCAUUUGUUCCCAUCUCUGGUUUUGAAGGAGAUAAUAUGAUUGAGAGGUCUACCAACCUCGACUGGUACAAGGGACCAACCCUCCUUGAGGCUCUCGACCAGAUUAAUGAGCCCAAGAGGCCAUCAGACAAACCACUCCGUCUCCCACUUCAGGAUGUUUACAAGAUUGGUGGCAUUGGA